UUUAGAACUACUUCAUAUAAGGUCUGUGUUUCAUGUAGGCUAACCCUGGCGUGACGUUUUGAUAACCACAUAAAUCUAUCUCAGACAAGAUGGGUGGACCGGAAACCAAGUGACAACACUCAGGUCUAUAGCUGCCAUUUUCCGGUGGGAAAGAUAAAAUAGCCCUGCAUUUACCAGAAAAGGUAGCUCAUCCACCAUGGCAGAAGAGGAAGAUCCAGACUGUUGAUUGGGAAACAAGAACAAACAAUGAGGCAUGAGGAUUGGGUGUUAAGAGUACAUCCCUCAGGCCAUCCGGUGCAUGGACAUCCUGUGCCAGUGUGAUCCGGUUGUGGAGACUACAGCAGAUUGAGCCUGUGGACGGACAGACAUGAGGCGUGAUAUGCAGAAUAUCAGGCUCACCCCACGAGAAGAAGUGCAUGAUCAACGCCAUCCUCAGCAAGGAGAUCUGCUGGAAAAGAUGUACUCUCACUCUGGGGAAUGAGAGAAUUAGGUGAAAAUGAGGCGUUGCUUGUUAAACAAGUGGAUUCGGGGAUCAAGUGUAGCUGGAGCUGGGCCUGGUUCAAGCUGGAUGCCAGAGAUUAAAGGAAGACCACACACUUUCCCUCUCUCACUUUUUCAAUACAGUGGAUAAAAAGGGGUAUGCCAGGUGUACUCUCUGCCUGAAAGAGAUCAGUUAUGCCAACAAAGGGUAUCAUGCUCUGCUGGCACAUUGUAGAACAGAUGACCACAGGCAGAAAGUGUGCAAUGUAGCCCAAAUAUAUUGCUUUUGUUGUGUUGAAUUUGACAGAAAUACAUGUGUGUGAGUGAGGGGGUAUUUAAUUUUUGUGUGUAGUCUUGUGCACUUGAUCGAUGUCUACUAUAGUGGCCACUAUAAUGGAGCAAAAAUAGAAUGCCUGUUUGUUUCAUUCUAUUUCAAGAUGUUUUUUUCCCAAGUGCAAUGUUUAGAUGUGUGUGGUCACAACCAUUCUAUUAUUUACAUUUUAGUCAUUUAGCAGACGCUCUUAUCCAGAGCGAUUUAGUUAUUGAGUGCAUACAUUUUCAUAC
Long non-coding RNA from Coregonus clupeaformis (lake whitefish), 1044 nucleotides. RefSeq lists it as uncharacterized. Lineage: Eukaryota; Metazoa; Chordata; Actinopteri; Salmoniformes; Salmonidae. The transcript has 5 exons. The record is from RefSeq and is a predicted model, not a curated record.